Molecule: ribosomal RNA, 815 nt
Filed under: uncultured bacterium
Lineage: Bacteria
Description: bacterial SSU rRNA
Rfam family: Bacterial small subunit ribosomal RNA
Source: RNAcentral
AGAGUUUGAUCAUGGCUCAGAACGAACGCUGGCGGCGUGGAUAAGACAUGCAAGUCGAGCGCUGGCUGCAGGGUAGCAAUAUUCUGCAGUUGGAGCGGCGCAAGGGUGCGUAACACGUGGGUAAUCUGCCAUGAAGUUUGGGAUAACUUGCUGAAAGGCGAGCUAAUACCGGAUGUGAAAAUUGGGAGGCCUCUCCUGAUUUUUAAAGCUGGGGACCGUAAGGCCUGGCGCUUCUUGAUGAGCCCGCGGCCUAUCAGCUAGUUGGUAAGGUAACGGCUUACCAAGGCUAAGACGGGUAGCUGGUCUGAGAGGACGACCAGCCACACUGGAACUGAGACACGGUCCAGACACCUACGGGUGGCAGCAGUCGAGAAUUUUUCACAAUGGGCGCAAGCCUGAUGGAGCGACGCCGCGUGGGGGAUGAAUGGCUUCGGCCCGUAAACCCCUGUCAUUUGCGAUCAAACCUCGUUAUUUAAAAGAUGACGAGCUGAUAGUAGCGAAAGAGGAAGGGACGGCUAACUCUGUGCCAGCAGCCGCGGUAAUACAGAGGUCCCAAGCGUUGUUCGGAUUCACUGGGCGUAAAGGGUGCGUAGGUGGCCAGGUAAGUCGGAUGUGAAAGCUCGGAGCUCAACUCCGAAAUGGCAUUGGAAACUGCCUGGCUCGAGGGUUGGAGGGGGGACUGGAAUACUUGGUGUAGCAGUGAAAUGCGUAGAUAUCUGCAGGAACACCCGUGGCGAAAGCGGCGAGCUGGAUCACUACUGACGCUGAGGAACGAAAGCUAGGGGAGCAAACAGGAUUAGAUACCCCAGUAGUCC